RNAcentral lists this unclassified non-coding RNA (331 nucleotides) under soil metagenome. Its description in RNAcentral is "partial contains 5.8S ribosomal RNA, internal transcribed spacer 2, and large subunit ribosomal RNA". The stretch from base 1 to 120 matches the Rfam family "5.8S ribosomal RNA", at positions 35 to 154 of the family's 154-position model. The record is from RNAcentral.
GAUGAAGAACGUAGCGAAAUGCGAUAAGUAGUGUGAAUUGCAGAAUUCAGUGAAUCAUCGAAUCUUUGAACGCACAUUGCGCCCUUUGGUAUUCCUUAGGGCAUGCCUGUUCGAGCGUCAUUUAAACCUUCAAGCUAAGCUUGGUGUUGGGUGACUGUCCGCUUCACGGCGGACUCGCCUCAAAAUUAUUGGCGGCCGGUACAUUGGCUUCGAGCGCAGCAGAAACGCGAACUCGGGCCCGUCGUAUUGGCUCCCAGAAGCUAUCUUCACAAUUUUGACCUCGGAUCAGGUAGGGAUACCCGCUGAACUUAAGCAUAUCAAUAGCGGAGGA